CCUAGGGUGGCAGCAGUGGGGAAUAUUGGACAAUGGGCGAAAGCCUGAUCCAGCCAUGCCGCGUGUGUGAAGAAGGCCUUCGGGUUGUAAAGCACUUUCAGUGGGGAAGAAAGCCUUGGGGCUAAUACCCUCGAGGAAGGACAUCACCCACAGAAGAAGCACCGGCUAACUCCGUGCCAGCAGCCGCGGUAAUACGGAGGGUGCGAGCGUUAAUCGGAAUUACUGGGCGUAAAGCGCGCGUAGGCGGUCUGAUAAGCCGGUUGUGAAAGCCCCGGGCUCAACCUGGGAACGGCAUCCGGAACUGUCAGGCUAGAGUGCAGGAGAGGAAGGUAGAAUUCCCGGUGUAGCGGUGAAAUGCGUAGAGAUCGGGAGGAAUACCAGUGGCGAAGGCGGCCUUCUGGACUGACACUGACGCUGAGGUGCGAAAGCGUGGGUAGCAAACAGGAUUAGAUACCCGGUAGUC
Molecule: ribosomal RNA, 463 nt
Filed under: Vreelandella stevensii
Lineage: Bacteria; Pseudomonadati; Pseudomonadota; Gammaproteobacteria; Oceanospirillales; Halomonadaceae
Description: partial 16S ribosomal RNA
Rfam family: Bacterial small subunit ribosomal RNA
Source: RNAcentral